AGUACUUUCAUUGCUUUCUCAGAAGACUAUUAAUACUUUUAUUUGUGUGUUAUACACAUUGUUUUUAAUCCCUCUGUUGUAGGAUAAAGAACAGCCAAGGAUGACCUUGUUGCAUACUCUAGAUCAGCUGAUCAAUUCCUGUUGAUAAGUGGACCAAGGAAAGGAGAGGAAGACAUAUGCAAUAAUGUCCCAGGACCUUCUCCUGGGCAGUGCUGAUGUUGAAAAGAUGUACAGUGAAAGAUAAAUAGGAACAGCUAAGCAAGCUCUGACAAGCUUUGGAACCUGAUAUGAGAUUGCAUUGUAUUAUACCACCUAAAGAGGAUGCCAGAGUCAUCAAAUUGAUAAGAGUUGCUUGUUCCACUAAAUAAAUCUCUUUUUCAGAAGGAAAACGAAUCACAGAAUAUGUCUGGUUUGAAGAGAUCCCAAAAGAUCAUCCAGUCCAGCCCUUGACUGAAGGGUCAACACUAAGCUGCAUCCCUAACCACGAGGUCCACAUGCAGCUUGAAUAAUCCCAGGUCCCUUGGAAAACUCAACCGUCGAUGUUUAAUAACUAUUUCUUCUGGUGCAGCAAGCAGUGGAGAUGUACAAAAGCAGCCAAGGCAUGUAAUUCAUGGAAUACCAAAGUGUGUUUCAUAAAAGUGGCUGGAGAAUGAACUGGAUUGAGAAGGUUCAGUGUUGCUCAGGAGGUUGUGAUUGCAGCGCUGGCUCUAUAUUCCUGUGUGAAAAAUCUAACUGGGACUCCUCUCACUGAACUUUAGACAUUUCAACUGAGAUGCCUGAGGUAACUUUAAUAAUGUGUUUCUCAAGUCUUCUUCCUUCAGUUGAUGAAAAUAGUGACCUGUCUUCCAAAGAAUUUCAAAAGAACUGGAAAACUUCCACUACAGCAUGGUGUUCUCCCAGGUGACGAGGUUCAGACUAAGCUGCUCCUGAUCCGUAACGUCACACUGGAUGAACACCGUCCUCUGUGCUUCAAACUGCUCGUCCAGGGCUCCCUUGCUUUCCUGCCCGGCCUCGGAGUUGCGGUCCAGCAGGGCUACCUGAGCGGAGAGGAAGGGAGAAGCUCGCCUGAACGAAGGCUCUGCCGAUGCCCUGCGCCCCACCGGUGACCAGAGCCACCUUGCCAUUGACGUGCAUGGUCGUCGCGCUGCUGCCGCCGGCCCCGCGCCCGCCGAGCUGGAGUAACCUAGCGCGGUGUCACCUGCCCAGUUUCCUUCCUUCCUUCCUCCCUCCCUCCUUCGCUCGCUCCCUCCCUCCCUCCCUCCUGCCGUCCCUCUUUCCUUCCUUCCCUCCCUCCUCCUCCUGCCGCUGCUCUUUGUCGUGUCCCCCCCCCGCCGCCCCGCUACCCUCUUGUGUGACCAGGAGCCGCCCGGAGCUGCCUGGGCGGGGGGAGCAGGGGUGGAGUAGGUCAUUAAAUCUUUCUCCCAAGUGCCUCGAUAAACCCCAGCGAUCAGGAUCUUCAUCCUUUCUUCAGCCCGCUGGGUUUUCCGGCGAAGGACCAGCUCUUGCCAUUCGGUCCCCGGGGCAGCUCCAUUUCCCCGCAGACUGGAGAAGGAGCGUUUGUGUCUCCACAUGCCGUGUGAAAAACAGCUACAACCUUUGAUAAGAGCUCUUGGCAGCAACUAAGGCUGAUUGGCCCAAGUUGUGAGAGCAGCAGGAUGAAGAAUUGAAAGAAAACUUAGUCUCGAUAAAAAACGGUCGCAGAACCUUUUUUUCGCACUUCAAAAUGCCAACCAGCCCUCUCCCUCUCGUUCUACCAGUAAGCAGACUCUCUUUGCAUGACAAAGCAGCCACUAAGCAUUAUGCGUGUCAGAUGCAUCAGGAUAAGUAUUUUCUAGAAAUUGCCAGGUCUGUGGAUAACACGGAUUGUAGCUUAAAAAGUGUUUAUGUUUAUGGUUUAUAAGCCGUAUUCUGCUACAUAAUGUGAACUAAAUGCCACUAAAACUUAAUCAGUACUCAGAUAUAUCAGCACACAGCAGAAAUAAGAGCAAUCUUAAAGAUCUGAAAGCUGAAAUCAAAUUUCUUCUUCAUUAGCCUGUUAGAAAGUUUUCCAAAUGUUGUCCCAUAGAAAAUAAAACAUGGAGAGUUGGGCAGAUGGGAAUGACCCACCAUUCCAGUCCUAAGCUUUAUAAAUAUACAUACAGCAUGUAUGUGUGUCUGUGUAUUAACAUUAUCUUUUGGCUUCUUUGUUUUCUUUUGCCUGGUGUAUUAGAUUAAAACUUUUCUCUUGUCCUUUCAUGGCCCUGAAGUACUCUGAGUCCACCUGCAUCCCUAUCAUUAUUGACUGUUGUUAUUUUUCCUUUCUUAGCAACAGUAUGCCUAUUUUACCCCAUCUGUUAUUCCAGCUGCCUAGUUUAUUUUAGGCUGUCUUCAUGUGUGGAAUUCCCUUCUUUAGUACUACCUAGAAGAAACAGAUUAUACCUUCUUCCAACAUCACUGAAGUGUUACAGAACCCUUAAGGUAACUAUGUUACCUAAUUGAGUAAAUUGAGUAACACAAGAUCUUGUUGUUAUUAUAACCUUUGUCCUUAAAAAUGUGAACUAAUAUAAUCCAGCUGCUAAAUUGGAUAGCAGCCAUUUAGUUUUCCUGAAGAUCAUGAUUCAUAGUGCUUCAUAAAGGCAGACAGAGCUGGCCUCUGGGAUUAGUGAUUUGUCUGAAUACUAUACCUGCAUUACUGGGAAGGCUCCAGAUUGCUUAGGAGCUGUGAAAUUUGUGCCACCUAAACUGUCAUACCUAAUGAUCUCUUUCCCAAUCAGCUGAGCUAGCUUCCUUAAUUUGUUGAGAGACAAGCACAGUGCCAGGUCAAACACAUAUCAUGAGAACAGUAUUACCACACAGGAACCUAACAAUACUGUCACAGUGCAGUCUUUCACCCUCAACCCAACCCUAGUAACUCCCCCCCACCCCAAGUUCUUGCCAAGUCAUCAUCAACACUUGUCAUGGUCUUUAUUUCCACAAUAUUUUACUCUGGUGGGGUUUGGUUGGUUGGUUUUUUUUGUUUGUUUGUGUUUUUUUUAAGUGCUAUGCAAAAGAAAAGAUCAA
This is a long non-coding RNA of Pogoniulus pusillus (Red-fronted tinkerbird), 3039 nucleotides long. RefSeq lists it as uncharacterized. The transcript has 11 exons. Lineage: Eukaryota; Metazoa; Chordata; Aves; Piciformes; Lybiidae. The record is from RefSeq and is a predicted model, not a curated record.